UACAGAGGUCUCAAGCGUUGUUCGGAUUCAUUGGGCGUAAAGGGUGCGUAGGUGGCAGGGUAAGUCGGAUGUGAAAUCCCGGGGCUCAACCUCGGAACUGCAUUCGAUACUGCUUUGCUUGAGUACUGGAGAGGAGAUUGGAAUUUACGGUGUAGCAGUGAAAUUCGUAGAUAUUUCGCAAGAACACCAGUGGCGAAGGCGGCUCACUGGCCCGGUACUGACGCUGAGGUGCGAAAGCGUGGGGAGCGAACGGG
Molecule: ribosomal RNA, 254 nt
Filed under: uncultured bacterium
Lineage: Bacteria
Description: partial 16S ribosomal RNA
Rfam family: Bacterial small subunit ribosomal RNA
Source: RNAcentral